This 644-nucleotide ribosomal RNA is filed under the name uncultured Bacillus sp. Its description in RNAcentral is "bacterial SSU rRNA". It matches the Rfam family "Bacterial small subunit ribosomal RNA", at positions 524 to 1172 of the family's 1533-position model. Lineage: Bacteria; Bacillati; Bacillota; Bacilli; Caryophanales; Bacillaceae. The record is from RNAcentral.
UACAUCCCUUCUAAAGGUUACACGAGCUGGGGAGUAAAGGGCUCGCAGGCGGUUUCUUAAGUCUGAUGUGAAAGCCCCCGGCUCAACCGGGGAGGGUCAUUGGAAACUGGGGAACUUGAGUGCAGAAGAGGAGAGUGGAAUUCCACGUGUAGCGGUGAAAUGCGUAGAGAUGUGGAGGAACACCAGUGGCGAAGGCGACUCUCUGGUCUGUAACUGACGCUGAGGAGCGAAAGCGUGGGGAGCGAACAGGAUUAGAUACCCUGGUAGUCCACGCCGUAAACGAUGAGUGCUAAGUGUUAGGGGGUUUCCGCCCCUUAGAGCUGCACCUAACGCAUUAAGAACUCCGCCUGGGGAGUGCGGUCGCAAGACUGAAACUCACGGGAAUUGACGGAUGCCCGUUUUAGCAUCGGAGCAUGCGGUUGAAUUCGAAGAACCCCGCCAACCUUACCAGGUCUUGACUUGAUGGGACCUUCCUAGAGAUAGGACUGCCCCUACGUGCCAAGAGCCGCAGGUGGUGCUCGGUUGUCGUCAACUCGUGUCGUGAGAUGUUGGGUUUGUGCCCGCACCGAGCAAUUCCCUUGAUCUUCGUUGCCGCCACUCAACUGGCCACGCGGAGUGGAUAACGGGUGACCUGCCGGACUAAA